UGCCAGCAGCCGCGGUAAUACGGAGAUGGCAACCGUUGUUCGGAAUCCACUGGGCUUAAAGGGCCACGUAGGCGGGUAAAUUAGUUGGUUGUGAAAUCCCAUGGCUUACCCAUGGAACUGCAGCCAAAACUGUUUACCUUGAGUAUGGUAAGGGAUAGUGGAACUCCUGGUGGAGCGGUGAAAUGCGUUGAUAUCAGGAGGAACGCCGGAGGCGAAAGCGACUAUCUGGGCCAUAACUGACGCUGAGGGACGAAAGCGUGGGGAGCGAACGGGAUUAGAUA
RNAcentral lists this ribosomal RNA (281 nucleotides) under uncultured bacterium. Its description in RNAcentral is "partial 16S ribosomal RNA". It matches the Rfam family "Bacterial small subunit ribosomal RNA", at positions 506 to 784 of the family's 1533-position model. The record is from RNAcentral.